UACGUAGGGUGCAAGCGUUGUCCGGAAUUAUUGGGCGUAAAGAGCUCGUAGGCGGUUUGUCGCGUCUGCUGUGAAAACGCGAGGCUCAACCUCGCGCCUGCAGUGGGUACGGGCAGACUAGAGUGCGGUAGGGGAGAAUGGAACUCCUGGUGUAGCGGUGGAAUGCGCAGAUAUCAGGAAGAACACCGAUGGCGAAGGCAGUUCUCUGGGCCGUAACUGACGCUGAGGAGCGAAAGCGUGGGGAGCAAACGGG
This 253-nucleotide ribosomal RNA is filed under the name uncultured bacterium. RNAcentral's name for it is "partial 16S ribosomal RNA". It matches the Rfam family "Bacterial small subunit ribosomal RNA", at positions 524 to 776 of the family's 1533-position model. The record is from RNAcentral.